AAAAUUGAUUAAACAGUUAACUCACUCCAUGGUGAUAAAGUCCUAAUAGACUUUAGAUGAGACGUUUAUUUUAUGUUUUUCUCAGGCAUUACUGAAACUUCAGUUCCCAUCAUCUCAACAUCUGGAAAUGCAGGCACGACAGGAGUAGUGAGCCCCACUGUCACUGGUGCUGCAGGCGUGGCAGGUAAAUUAAAUUCAGAACAAAGUAUACCAGUCUCAGCUAAGAAACUCAUUUUAGGUGAUGUUACUCAGAACAAUAUUUUGCAAAAUAAAAGUAUUAGAGCUAGGUGAUUAUUCCUUAUAUGUAAUUGAAAUAUCGUAUCUUUAGUCUUUUCACAAGUUGCUUCCUUAAAGUAUAAUGUUAAAAUUAUAUGUGCUGAUGACCUUGAUAGUUGGUGGUGCCUAUGCAUUUUUUUAGCCAGAUAUUUGUUUUUUCUUUACCUUUGUCAGGGACAACUGGAGUGUUACCUGGUAUAACCACAGGAGCUGAACAUGGAAAUUUAAGUGACUUCAGAACAGGUACGACUGGAGGAUUCCUGGGCGCAACCACAGGAGCAGGCAGGGGAAGCACACCGGGAGCAUCAGGCAGUGGGGCCACCAGCCCUGGGAACCCAGCAGGCAAGACAAGGACUCUUUUGGGGGCUGUAAUUGGGGUCCAACACAAGCUUUGCCAAGACCCCAGAAUACGAUAAUGAGAUUAAGUAAAUAUAACCAAGGGCAAUAUUUUAGGAAAACAACAUGAAACUGAAUAUCCUGAAAUAAUUUUUUUGGUAACUAUCCAUAUACAUUAAGCACCAUUAUUCUUCCGAGUAGGAAGAACUGGAGGAGUGGAUGCAGCCACCACUGGAGCUGCUGGUGAAAAUACAUCUGAGAGAGCAGGUACUGGAAGAGCAAAAACAUCAUGAUGCUGUCCUGUGGACACGUGAGCUUUCUGCUCAAAAUUUAGUCAGAAACAAGGUUUGUUGGGGAAUCCAAACAUUACGUAAGGCUGUGUGUGCAGAAGAUCAGAACUAUACCAACAAGCAUAUGCUGUAUACCUAAUACUGUGAUAGAUGCUCUGUGGGAUACAGGAAAAGAAUAGGGCCCUAUAUUUGUUCUCACUCUACUUCACUUUGGAGAGGAAGGAAUAAAUAUUCCUACAGACAUAGAUGAUAAAGACUAAGAAAGGCAGGAGUUAAUCAAGCAAAUAAAAGGUGCAUGCUGGAGCAUAAGGCAAUUCUAGUAAGAAGAGACAAGAUAAUUCAAUGUUGAACUAUUCAGUGUUGAACAGUGAAUUAUCU
RNAcentral lists this long non-coding RNA (1280 nucleotides) under Macaca mulatta (Rhesus monkey). Its description in RNAcentral is "lncRNA (ENSMMUG00000058246.1)". Lineage: Eukaryota; Metazoa; Chordata; Mammalia; Primates; Cercopithecidae. The record is from RNAcentral.